GGCGGGGUGCUAUACAUGCAGUCGAGCGAACAGACGAGGAGCUUGCUCCUCUGACGUUAGCGGCGGACGGGUGAGUAACACGUGGAUAACCUACCUAUAAGACUGGGAUAACUUCGGGAAACCGGAGCUAAUACCGGAUAAUAUAUUGAACCGCAUGGUUCAAUAGUGAAAGACGGUUUUGCUGUCACUUAUAGAUGGAUCCGCGCCGCAUUAGCUAGUUGGUAAGGUAACGGCUUACCAAGGCAACGAUGCGUAGCCGACCUGAGAGGGUGAUCGGCCACACUGGAACUGAGACACGGUCCAGACUCCUACGGGAGGCAGCAGUAGGGAAUCUUCCGCAAUGGGCGAAAGCCUGACGGAGCAACGCCGCGUGAGUGAUGAAGGUCUUCGGAUCGUAAAACUCUGUUAUUAGGGAAGAACAAAUGUGUAAGUAACUAUGCACGUCUUGACGGUACCUAAUCAGAAAGCCACGGCUAACUACGUGCCACGGUGGGAAAAAUA
RNAcentral lists this ribosomal RNA (501 nucleotides) under Staphylococcus epidermidis. RNAcentral describes it as "bacterial SSU rRNA". It matches the Rfam family "Bacterial small subunit ribosomal RNA", at positions 38 to 525 of the family's 1533-position model. The record is from RNAcentral. Lineage: Bacteria; Bacillati; Bacillota; Bacilli; Caryophanales; Staphylococcaceae.